GACGAACGCUGGCGGCGUGCUUAACACAUGCAAGUCGAACGGAAAGGCCCUGCUUUUGUGGGGUGCUCGAGUGGCGAACGGGUGAGUAACACGUGAGUAACCUGCCCUUGACUUUGUGAUAACUUCAGGAAACUGGGGCUAAUACCGGAUAGGAGCUCCUGCUGCAUGGUGGGGGUUGGAAAGUUUCGGCGGUUGGGGAUGGACUCGCGGCUUAUCAGCUUGUUGGUGGGGUAGUGGCUUACCAAGGCUUUGACGGGUAGCCGGCCUGAGAGGGUGACCGGCCACAUUGGGACUGAGAUACGGCGCAGACUCCUACGGGAGGCAGCAGUGGGGAAUAUUGCACAAUGGGCGGAAGCCUGAUGCAGCAACGCCGCGUGCGGGAUGCCGGCCUUCGGGUUGUAAACCGCUUUCGCCUGUGACGAAGCGUGAGUGACGGUAAUGGGUAAAGAAGCACCGGCUAACUACGUG
Molecule: ribosomal RNA, 468 nt
Filed under: uncultured bacterium
Lineage: Bacteria
Description: partial 16S ribosomal RNA
Rfam family: Bacterial small subunit ribosomal RNA
Source: RNAcentral